RNAcentral lists this ribosomal RNA (1598 nucleotides) under Venturia inaequalis. RNAcentral describes it as "eukaryotic LSU rRNA". It matches the Rfam family "Eukaryotic large subunit ribosomal RNA", at positions 78 to 1420 of the family's 3401-position model. The record is from RNAcentral. Lineage: Eukaryota; Fungi; Ascomycota; Dothideomycetes; Venturiales; Venturiaceae.
CCUCAGUAACGGCGAGUGAAGCGGCAACAGCUCAAAUUUGAAAUCUGGCGCAAGCCCGAGUUGUAAUUUGCAGAGGAUGUUUCGGGUGAAGCCACGGUCCAAGUCCCUUGGAACAGGACGUCAUAGAGGGUGAGAACCCCGUACCUGGCCGUCGGUGCCCCCCGCUGUGAAACUCCUUCGACGAGUCGAGUUGUUUGGGAAUGCAGCUCUAAAUUGGUGGUAAAUUCCAUCUAAAGCUAAAUACCGGCCAGAGACCGAUAGCGCACAAGUAGAGUGAUCGAAAGAUGAAAAGCACUUUGAAAAGAGAGUUAAAAAGUACGUGAAAUUGUUGAAAGGGAAGCGCUUGCGGCCAGACUUGCCCGCGGUUGCUCAGCCCGCCUUUUGGCGGGUGCACUCUUCCGCGGUCAGGCCAGCAUCGGUUUGGGCGGUCGGAUAAAGGCGUCGGGAACGUGGCCUCCCCUCGGGGAGGUGUUAUAGCCCGGCGCGCAAUGCGGCCAGCCCGGACCGAGGUUCGCGCUUUGCUAGGAUGCUGGCGUAAUGGCCGUAAGCGGCCCGUCUUGAAACACGGACCAAGGAGUCUAACAUCUAUGCGAGUGUUUGGGUGUCAAACCCGUGCGCGUAAUGAAAGUGAACGGAGGUGGGAACCGCAAGGUGCACCAUCGACCGAUCCUGAUGUCUUCGGAAGGAUUUGAGUAAGAGCAUAGCUGUUGGGACCCGAAAGAUGGUGAACUAUGCGUGAAUAGGGUGAAGCCAGAGGAAACUCUGGUGGAGGCUCGCAGCGGUUCUGACGUGCAAAUCGAUCGUCAAAUUUGCGUAUAGGGGCGAAAGACUAAUCGAACCAUUUGCAAACAGCAAUACUAGAUGGUCAAAGGGCGGAGAGCCUUAGUCCCCACGGGGGCCACACUGCCAAACUGCGGGGAACGCCCACAGCCGGACGCCACCGCCCCCCCGCCGCGAGGUGGGAGGGGCACCCCGUUUACUCGGGGGCAUGGUAACAGCGCGCCCGGCGGGUCGAUCCGCAGCCGUCCCCCGAUCCGUCGGGGGGUGGUUCACAGACUAGACGGCGGUGGGCGCGGCGAGCGCUUAAGAUAUAGUCGAUCCAGCCCCUCAAGGGGCCGAGAGUAGUAGCUGGUUCCUGCCGAAGUUUCCCUCAGGAUAGCAGUAACGUUUUCAGUUUUAUGAGGUAAAGCGAAUGAUUAGAGGCCUGGGGGUUGAAACUAACCUUCACCUAUUCUCAAACUUUAAAUAUGUAAGAAGUCCUUGUUACUUAGUUGAACGUGGACAUUUGAAUGCACCGUUACUAGUGGGCCAUUUUUGGUAAGCAGAACUGGCGAUGCGGGAUGAACCGAACGGGGGGUUAAGGUGCCGGAAUGCACGCUCAUCAGACACCACAAAAGGUGUUGGUUCAUCUAGACAGCAGGACGGUGGCCAUGGAAGUCGGAAUCCGCUAAGGAGUGUGUAACAACUCACCUGCCGAAUGAACCAGCCCUGAAAAUGGAUGGCGCUCAAGCGUGCUACCCAUACCCCCCCUCCGCGGCAGGCUUUAUGCCGCGGAGAGUAGGCAGGCGUGGAGGCCCGUGACGAAGCCCAGGGGGUGA